This 374-nucleotide unclassified non-coding RNA is filed under the name uncultured Thermoleophilia bacterium. RNAcentral's name for it is "contains 16S-23S intergenic spacer region". The record is from RNAcentral. Lineage: Bacteria; Bacillati; Actinomycetota; Thermoleophilia.
UCCGGUUUGUCACCGGCAGUCUCGCAUGAGUCCCCAGCUUUACCUGCUGGCAACAUGCGACGAGGGUUGCGCUCGUUGCGGGACUUAACCCAACAUCUCACGACACGAGCUGACGACAGCCAUGCACCACCUGUACACCGACAAAAGGGGCGCCAUCUCUGACGCUUUCCGGUGUAUGUCAAACCCAGGUAAGGUUCUUCGCGUUGCAUCGAAUUAAUCCACAUGCUCCGCUGCUUGUGCGGGUCCCCGUCAAUUCCUUUGAGUUUUAGCCUUGCGGCCGUACUCCCCAGGCGGGGCACUUAAUGCGUUAGCUCCGGCACGGGAGGAGUCGACACCUCCCACACCUAGUGCCCAUCGUUUACGGCGUGGACUAC